Molecule: long non-coding RNA, 397 nt
Organism: Hipposideros armiger (great roundleaf bat)
Lineage: Eukaryota; Metazoa; Chordata; Mammalia; Chiroptera; Hipposideridae
Exons: 3
Source: RefSeq, a predicted model, not a curated record
CUUCACUUCCUGGCCUGUGCAAGUCAGUGCACACUCAUUUCUAGAAGGAUAUCCCUUGACUUCCAGGUAGCCACAGGUGCUCUGCCAAGGGACUGGCAGCAACACGGCCUUAUAGAAAGAGGCAGGACUUGGAAGCCACACCGAGAAAUGAUACCACCGAAAUCAGUGUUUGUGAUUCCUGCAGAUAUGCCUUCCCUGAGUUUAUAUUUAAUGCCACAGUUGAAGAUGUGUCAUGUUACCUGUGGAUUCUUAUAUGAGCAUCAAGGGGAUGAAUCUUUUGAACUUGCCUCUUUGCAACUGCUUCUAGGUUCUUUAAAACCCAGGGGGCUUCUGUGUGUGCAGUGUAACACUCAUUACAACUUCCAGUAAAACCGAUGCUCAAUUUAUCAAUUUUAUA